UCCGGUUUGUCACCGGCAGUCUCAUUAGAGUGCCCUUGCGUAGCAACUAAUGAUAAGGGUUGCGCUCGUUGCGGGACUUAACCCAACAUCUCACGACACGAGCUGACGACAGCCAUGCAGCACCUGUGUUCCAGUUCCCUUUCAGGCACACCCACCUCUCAGCGGGCUCCCAGACAUGUCAAGGGUAGGUAAGGUUGUUCGCGUUGCAUCGAAUUAAUCCACAUCAUCCACCGCUUGUGCGGGUCCCCGUCAAUUCCUUUGAGUUUUAACCUUGCGGCCGUACUCCCCAGGCGGAGAGCUUAUUGAGUUAUCUGCGCUACUGAAAAGUAAACUUUCCAACAGCUAGCUCUCAUCGUUUACGGCGUGGACUAC
RNAcentral lists this unclassified non-coding RNA (372 nucleotides) under uncultured Gammaproteobacteria bacterium. Its description in RNAcentral is "contains 16S-23S intergenic spacer region". The record is from RNAcentral. Lineage: Bacteria; Pseudomonadati; Pseudomonadota; Gammaproteobacteria.